UUGUGGUUCUAAGUUGCCCGAUGCUCAGGCGGCCUAUGAGGCGGCCAACACUUUGCAGACAUCCGCUUUGGCGGGAGUUAACUUUAUGCUGCACACCG
Non-coding RNA from SAR92 bacterium BACL26 MAG-121220-bin70, 98 nucleotides. The record is from Rfam. NCBI's taxonomy places the organism in Bacteria, Pseudomonadati, Pseudomonadota, Gammaproteobacteria, Cellvibrionales, Porticoccaceae.